AUACAGUCAAAAUCUGUUACUUAAACAUUUAAGGGGCCGCGAUUAUUAGGUCGCAAAACGUACUAGUUGUAAUAACUUGU
Long non-coding RNA from Maniola jurtina (meadow brown), 80 nucleotides. RefSeq lists it as uncharacterized. NCBI's taxonomy places the organism in Eukaryota, Metazoa, Arthropoda, Insecta, Lepidoptera, Nymphalidae. The transcript has 3 exons. The record is from RefSeq and is a predicted model, not a curated record.